GUAGGGUGCGAGCGUUAAUCGGGAAUUACUGGGGCGUAAAGCGUGCGCAGGCGGUUGUGCAAGACAGAUGUGAAAUCCCCGGGGCUCAACCUGGGAAUUGCAUUUGUAACUGCACGGCUAGAGUGUGUCAGAGGGGGGUAGAAUUCCACGUGUAGCAGUGAAAUGCGUAGAGAUGUGGAGGAAUACCGAUGGCGAAGGCAGCCCCCUGGGAUAACACUGACGCUCAUGCACGAAAGCGUGGGGAGCAAACAGGAUUAGAUACCCUGGUAGUCCACGCCCUAAACGAUGUCAACUAGUUGUCGGGUCUUAAUUGACUUGGUAACGCAGCUAACGCGUGAAGUUGACCGCCUGGGGAGUACGGUCGCAAGAUUA
This 372-nucleotide ribosomal RNA is filed under the name uncultured organism. RNAcentral's name for it is "partial 16S ribosomal RNA". It matches the Rfam family "Bacterial small subunit ribosomal RNA", at positions 527 to 896 of the family's 1533-position model. The record is from RNAcentral.